GAGCACAUACAUAGGAUUGAACACAACACACACCAGAAGGAACCUCCAAUCCAGUAUUACUGUAUUCCCAAACAUUGCAUGAUCACAAGUUUAUACCAGGGUAGAAUUGCUUCCAUCAAUCCUCCUAUCUCUCCUCACCGGAAGGCGAGUGUUUCCAUCCACCUGGUCUCUCCCCAUAAGGCGGUUCAUUCCUUCCACCAUGUCUUUCCUCCCCAAAAGGCGGUCCCUCCUCCCCGAAAGGUGGCCGCUCCUCCCCAUAAGGUGGUCUCUCCCCCCUGAAAGGUGGUCUCUCACCCCCGAAAGGUGGCCUAUCUUCCCCGUAAGGUGGUCUCUCGCCUCUGAAAGGUGGCCUAUCUUCCCCGUAAGGUGGUCUCUCCUCCCUGUAAGGUGGUCUCUCUUCCCCAUAAGGUGGUCUCUCCUCCCUGUAAGGUGGUCUCUCUUCCCCGUAAGGUGGCCUCUCCUCCCCAAAAGGUGGUCUCUCCUCCCCAAAAGGUGGUCUUUCUUCCCCAUAAGGCGGCUCAUUCCUCCCACCAUGUCUCUCCUCCCCAUAAGAUGGUUCAUUCCUUCCACCUAGUCUCUCCUCCCCAAGAGAUGAUUGUUUCCAUCCACCCGGUAUUUCCUCCCCAUCAGAUGACUGUUUCCAUCCACCAGAGCCCUCCUCACCAUGUUCUCCAGAACCAUGAUCGCUUCUCUGCAACAUAGAAUACAAGAGUCAAAUGCAGUAGCAAUGCACAUGGACAAAAGCUUAGCACCACCACCUUAAAAUCAAAUACUUCACUACCACAAUGCAGUGUGACAACUGACAAGGGAUGACCUCACCCCUAGUGCCUUUAUAUAGCAAACAUAUAAGUUCUAUAACUACUGAAAGCAAAUGAGCGAAAAAUAGAGAGAAGGAGCAUAUGAACUUUUGGUUACCCCAGGUAGAAA
RNAcentral lists this long non-coding RNA (927 nucleotides) under Fragaria vesca (wild strawberry). RNAcentral's name for it is "long non-coding RNA (FVES_LNC003590)". Lineage: Eukaryota; Viridiplantae; Streptophyta; Magnoliopsida; Rosales; Rosaceae. The record is from RNAcentral.